GUAGGUGGCAAGCGUUGUCCGGAAUUAUUGGGCGUAAAGCGCGCGCAGGCGGUUCUUUAAGUCUGAUGUGAAAGCCCACGGCUCAACCGUGGAGGGUCAUUGGAAACUGGAGAACUUGAGUACAGAAGAGGAAAGCGGAAUUCCACGUGUAGCGGUGAAAUGCGUAGAGAUGUGGAGGAACACCAGCGGCGAAGGCGGCUUUCUGGUCUGUAACUGACGCUGAGGCGCGAAAGCGUGGGGAGCAAACAGGAUUAGAUACCCUGGUAGUCCACGCCGUAAACGAUGAGUGCUAAGUGUUAGGGGGUUUCCGCCCCCCUUAGUGCUGCAGCUAACGCAUUAAGCACUCCGCCUGGGAGUACGGCCGCAAGGCUG
This 372-nucleotide ribosomal RNA is filed under the name uncultured organism. RNAcentral describes it as "partial 16S ribosomal RNA". It matches the Rfam family "Bacterial small subunit ribosomal RNA", at positions 527 to 896 of the family's 1533-position model. The record is from RNAcentral.